This 145-nucleotide ribosomal RNA is filed under the name Triticum aestivum (bread wheat). Lineage: Eukaryota; Viridiplantae; Streptophyta; Magnoliopsida; Poales; Poaceae. The record is from RNAcentral.
GGAUGCGAUCAUACCAGCACUAAAGCACCGGAUCCCAUCAGAACUCCGAAGUUAAGCGUGCCAUCAGAACUCCGAAGUUAAGCGUGCUUGGGCGAGAGUAGUACUAGGAUGGGUGACCUCCUGGGAAGUCCUCGGGUUGCAUUCC